UACGAGAGCCUCGAGCGUUAUCCGGAAUUAUUGGGCGUAAAGAGCGUGUAGGCGGUCCGGUAAGUCAGCUGUGAAAGUCAAGGGCUCAACCCUUGAAAGCCGGUUGAUACUGUCGGGCUAGAGUCCGGAAGAGGCGAGUGGAAUUCCCGGUGUAGCGGUGAAAUGCGCAGAUAUCGGGAGGAACACCAAUGGCGAAGGCAGCUCGCUGGGACGGUACUGACGCUGAGACGCGAAAGCGUGGGGAGCAAACAGG
Molecule: ribosomal RNA, 253 nt
Filed under: uncultured bacterium
Lineage: Bacteria
Description: partial 16S ribosomal RNA
Rfam family: Bacterial small subunit ribosomal RNA
Source: RNAcentral